UGCAAGUCGAACGAACUCUGGUAUUGAUUGGUGCUUGCAUCAUGAUUUACAUUUGAGUGAGUGGCGAACUGGUGAGUAACACGUGGGAAACCUGCCCAGAAGCGGGGGAUAACACCUGGAAACAGAUGCUAAUACCGCAUAACAACUUGGACCGCAUGGUCCGAGCUUGAAAGAUGGCUUCGGCUAUCACUUUUGGAUGGUCCCGCGGCGUAUUAGCUAGAUGGUGGGGUAACGGCUCACCAUGGCAAUGAUACGUAGCCGACCUGAGAGGGUAAUCGGCCACAUUGGGACUGAGACACGGCCCAAACUCCUACGGGAGGCAGCAGUAGGGAAUCUUCCACAAUGGACGAAAGUCUGAUGGAGCAACGCCGCGUGAGUGAAGAAGGGUUUCGGCUCGUAAAACUCUGUUGUUAAAGAAGAACAUAUCUGAGAGUAACUGUUCAGGUAUUGACGGUAUUUAACCAGAAAGCCACGGCUAACUACGUGCCAGCAGCCGCGGUAAUACGUAGGUGGCAAGCGUUGUCCGGAUUUAUUGGGCGUAAAGCGAGCGCAGGCGGUUUUUUAAGUCUGAUGUGAAAGCCUUCGGCUCAACCGAAGAAGUGCAUCGGAAACUGGGAAACUUGAGUGCAGAAGAGGACAGUGGAACUCCAUGUGUAGCGGUGAAAUGCGUAGAUAUAUGGAAGAACACCAGUGGCGAAGGCGGCUGUCUGGUCUGUAACUGACGCUGAGGCUCGAAAGUAUGGGUAGCAAACAGGAUUAGAUACCCUGGUAGUCCAUACCGUAAACGAUGAAUGCUAAGUGUUGGAGGGUUUCCGCCCUUCAGUGCUGCAGCUAACGCAUUAAGCAUUCCGCCUGGGGAGUACGGCCGCAAGGCUGAAACUCAAAGGAAUUGACGGGGGCCCGCACAAGCGGUGGAGCAUGUGGUUUAAUUCGAAGCUACGCGAAGAACCUUACCAGGUCUUGACAUACUAUGCAAAUCUAAGAGAUUAGACGUUCCCUUCGGGGACAUGGAUACAGGUGGUGCAUGGUUGUCGUCAGCUCGUGUCGUGAGAUGUUGGGUUAAGUCCCGCAACGAGCGCAACCCUUAUUAUCAGUUGCCAGCAUUAAGUUGGGCACUCUGGUGAGACUGCCGGUGACAAACCGGAGGAAGGUGGGGAUGACGUCAAAUCAUCAUGCCCCUUAUGACCUGGGCUACACACGUGCUACAAUGGAUGGUACAACGAGUUGCGAACUCGCGAGAGUAAGCUAAUCUCUUAAAGCCAUUCUCAGUUCGGAUUGUAGGCUGCAACUCGCCUACAUGAAGUCGGAAUCGCUAGUAAUCGCGGAUCAGCAUGCCGCGGUGAAUACGUUCCCGGGCCUUGUACACACCGCCCGUCACACCAUGAGAGUUUGUAACACCCAACAGUCGGUGGGGUAACCUUUUAGGAACCAGCCGCCU
Molecule: ribosomal RNA, 1438 nt
Filed under: Lactiplantibacillus plantarum
Lineage: Bacteria; Bacillati; Bacillota; Bacilli; Lactobacillales; Lactobacillaceae
Description: bacterial SSU rRNA
Rfam family: Bacterial small subunit ribosomal RNA
Source: RNAcentral